This 422-nucleotide ribosomal RNA is filed under the name uncultured bacterium. Its description in RNAcentral is "partial 16S ribosomal RNA". It matches the Rfam family "Bacterial small subunit ribosomal RNA", at positions 360 to 774 of the family's 1533-position model. The record is from RNAcentral.
AAUAUUGGACAAUGGGGGCAACCCUGAUCCAGCCAUGCCGCGUGGGUGAAGAAGGUCUUCGGAUUGUAAAGCACUUUAAGUUGGGAGGAAGGGCUUUAGGCUAAUACCCUGAAGUUUUGACGUUACCAACAGAAUAAGCACCGGCUAACUCUGUGCCAGCAGCCGCGGUAAUACAGAGGGUGCAAUCGUUAAUCGGAAUUACUGGGCGUAAAGGGGGGGUAGGUGGUUAAGUAAAAUGGGUGUGAAAUCCCCGGGCUUAACCUGGGAACGGUUUUCAUAACUGUUGAGCUAGAGUAGGGUGGGGGGUAGGGGAAUUUCCUGUGUAGGGGGGAAAUGGGUAGAUAAAGGAAGGAACCCCAGUGGCGAAGGCGACUACCUGGACUGAUACUGAACUUGGGGUCCGAAAGCGUGGGGGGCAAAAA